This is a long non-coding RNA of Triticum aestivum (bread wheat), 6223 nucleotides long. RefSeq lists it as uncharacterized. The record is from RefSeq and is a predicted model, not a curated record. The transcript has 2 exons. Lineage: Eukaryota; Viridiplantae; Streptophyta; Magnoliopsida; Poales; Poaceae.
UACUGCCUUUUGUUCAAUUAAUGCACAAAAACCUUAUUAUGGCUGGUGCUAGUAGUUUUUCACUUUCUCCAUAGCAUAAAACCCAUCUUUGCAGAGAUUAAACCAAAAGAUUUUGUUCAGUGGAAUUGUGGUAUCAAAUACAAUUAAAACUAACAUAACUCAACAGUCUGGGGAAGUCCGUCAAACAACGAUAGCAUUUGAAGUGUUUCUAGUUGCAUACAAAAGAAUGUCCAUCGCCUCACAAAAACCAUGCAUCAUGUAUGGUCUUAGUCUAUAUAGCGGAAGGAAUCGACAGCAAGCGCCUGCAAAACAGGGCACAUCCUGCUGUACCAAUCAUGCAUUGUGGAAGACAUGGGCAUGGCUCAAACACGCGGCGAUGUCCUCUGAAGCAGCUUGAAGCAAACGGCUAACCCCUGCUUGAUAACCCUGAACACUGCAACAGGAAAUGAAACUAUUUUAGAACCGGUAAUUAGCAAUAUUUUGUAGAAAAACCGAAGUUAACCCAACCGGAUGGAUUGUCUUUUCUUGAGCAGAAGACAGGAAUGCUUUUUCUAACAACUACUGCUACAUAUAUCACUUGUUGAAAUCUCUAGAAAGACAAAUAUUUAGGAACGGAGGGAGUAGAAGGAACUGCAUUAAGAUUCCCAAGGAGAAGGUAACCUAUAUAGUCCAACAAAUUGGUUCAACAACUCGACAUAAUUGUACUCCCUCCGUCCUAAAAAGGUUGUCUUAGAUUUGUCUAGCUACGGAUGUUUCUAGAAACGUUUUAGUGUUAGAUACAUCCGUACCAAAUUACUUGUCUUUGUCUAGAUACAGAUAUUUUUUUCCCCGCAAAAAAGAAAAACAAACAAAAACAUCCAUAUCUAGACAAAGACAAGUAAUUUGGGACGGAGGUAAUAGAUGUCAAGUCAUGUGAGUUUACUAUAGACAAAUAGCUUGUUUUGUUGGUUGUGGGUUGAGUUCAAAGUUCAAAGUACAGAGCCUUACUCUGGGAAAUUCUCAGGUAAAUUUAUGACAUAUUUGGAUUACAACAAGUAGCAUUGUACCAAAAGAAUUGUGCAUACAUGUGAGUAAAAUAGAAGGCCUUGUUUUUGCUAGAGUCAUUCCCUAAUCAGGCUAGGAAAAGAGUUACUCCUUCCGAUCUAAAUUAAUUGACGCUCCUUUAGUACAACUUUACUUUGUACUAAAGUUGUACUCCCUCCGUCCUAAAAUAAGUGUCUUGAGCUUAGUACAAAUUUAUACUAGAGCUAGUACAAAGUUGAGACACUUAUUUUGGGACGGAGGGAGUACUAAAGGAACGUCGAGGGAGUACAUACAAAAAGGCGAAUGUGUAACGGAAUCCCACUUGUGCUCCAGCGGAAACAUGGAGCUUUGGAGUACAUAUAUAGCUUGGUAGUACUCCACCAUUUACAUGAAACCUGUAAUUUCAAAUGUCAUUCAUCAAAUAUUUGAUUAUUCAUUUAACUCUAAUAAAGUCCCGUUUUGUGCUAUUUCCCCCCCAUGUUUCCCACUCGGAAACAUGGAAAAGAGUUACUCCUAUCGAUCUAAAUUAAUUGACGCUCCUUUAGUACAACUUUACUUUGGAGUACAUAUAUAGCUUGGUAGUACUCCACCAUUUACAUGAAACCUGUAAUUUCAAAUGUCAUUCAUCAAAUAUUUGAUUAUUCAUUUAACUCUAAUAAAGUCCCGUUUUGUGCUAUUUUCCCCCCAUGUUUCCCCCAUGUUUCCCACUCGGAAACAUGGAAAAGAGUUACUCCUACCGAUCUAAAUUAAUUGACGCUCCUUUAGUACAACUUUACUUUGUACUAAAGUUGUACUCCCUCCGUCCUAAAAUAAGUGUCUUGAGCUUAGUACAAAUUUAUACUAGAGCUAGUACAAAGUUGAGACACUUAUUUUGGGACGGAGGGAGUACUAAAGGAACGUCGAGGGAGUACAUACAAAAAGGCGAAUGUGUAACGGAAUCCCACUUGUUGUGCUCCAGCGGAAACAUGGAGCUUUGGAGCACAUAUAUAGCUUGGUAGUACUCCACCAUUUACAUGAAACCUGUAAUUUCAAAUGUCAUUCAUCAAAUAUUUGAUUAUUCAUUUAACUCUAAUAAAGUCCCGUUUUGUGCUAUUUUCCCCCAUGUUUCCCACUCGGUAUUUUUUUUGCAAUAGGUCUUCGUGCCCGCUACACACGCUGAUCGACCAUCUCGAUCACAUGCAGAGCAACAACCUCGCCAUGUUGUCACAUAACCUCGCCAUAUGUUGUCACACAACCUUUUUUCUUAGUCUACAUAUACGACCUGAGCAUGCGUAAUGAAAAGAGGGGUGAUGCAUCAUCUUGUGUGAUUCUAAACUGUAUGAAAAUUAAUUACCUUCACACAGUUCAAUCAAGUGAAUUGUACGUCUACAAUCAAAUUCACAGUACUAUUGGAUAUAUAAACAAAGCACUACCCAUGAAAUUAAGAACAUGACAAGUUAAAUAAAUAUUCAUUGUGCCCACCAUGUUUCCACAUUGAUGCAAUUUUGAAAGGAUAUAUCGACCGUCCUAGAUCUUUCACAUGACAAAGCAUUACUCGAGAUCAUCAUGAACACUGCUCUUGGUUCUGCCUUUGAUACUCUGCUAGCAUGAAUAUGCAAUUAGAAGAAAUAUAUACCAACUUGUCUGCUAGCAUAGGAUCUCAGAUGUUUACAAAUAGUAAUAUGAUAAUUGUUAGAGUUAUUUAUAUUUAGCCGUGUGCCCUUUGUAUUUUCUCCAUUCUAUAAGGGGCCUUUUGCAUAUUGUAUCACACCUGUACAUGUAUAUAUAUCGGCCUAUGGCCACCUGGAAAUACAAGUUGCAUAUUUCCUAACAUGGUACUAGAGCCCUAGGUAUUUUUAUUCGCACGCACAAGUCGUGCUGAUCCCCUCUUGCGUCUUCGGCUCCUCUUGGUCGAUGCUGCUUGCGCUGCCACCCCUCUCCUUGGGCUGGUGGUUGCUGUCUUUUUCCGCCCUGGUCCAUGCUUCAUCCAUGAGCCACCUCUUCGAUCCAGUCGUCAAGGUUGCCGCCGCCUGGUCAAACAACCUCCUUGCCAGAUCACUUGCCCUGGUCGCUACCCGCCGCGUAACCCCGCUUGAUUCGCUUGUCCUGAAGGCUGCUCUGGUCAACGCCUUGAAAGCUGCAUUUGUAGUUGCCUGAUCCGCCCGACCUGGUUGCUGCAGAUCUGACCAACUGGAUCUAGCCGGUCCACCCAGUCCCGUGGGCUUUGGAUUGCAAGUCAACGACACCUGACUCUUACGGCUGCACGUGCUCCUUCCACCGUCUGGCGGACUUCCUCUUUGUUGCAUCGGGUGUGUGCUCCGCUGUCCUGGAACAGAGCCGGUUCCUGAGUAGUUGAUUUCAGUUGUAAAGAAAAGGAAAGAAAAACGGGUACAAUGUCUUCAUCCUCCGCUUUGUUGCUCUCCCUUGUUGCCCAGUUUUUUUUAUGAUACUAACUACUCCCUCCGUCCCAUAAUGUAAGACGUUUUUUGACACUACACUAGCGUAAAAAAAACGUCUUACAUUAUGGGACGGAGGGAGUACACCUAGUUUGUUGCCUUUAUGUGCAUUCAUAUGUGUGGCAUUUGUCUCGGGGGCUUUCCGGCAAGGUCCCCUGUCCAUCGUGCCCGUCUUAGAAUGGUGUGGCUGAGCGUAAGCAUCGUCAUCUUCUUAAGACUGCUCGUGCAUUGAUGAUUGCCACCUCUCUUCUGCCUCAACUUUGGGCUUGUUUCCACUUCUACCUGUCUCAUCUAUAUUCAGCCGUCUGCUGCUCUACACGGUGGCAUUCCUUUCGAGGGUCUUUUUGAUCGUUCUCCUGAUUAUUCAACGCUUUGUUUGUGUUUGCUAUGUUCUUCCCGCCUCCCGCGAAUGCACCAAACUGACCGCUCAAUCUAUCGAGUGUGUCUUCUUAGGAUACAAUGAUGAGCAUAAGGGCUAUCAUUGUUGGAUCCCGUCGGUCGUCGGAUGCGUAUUUUUCGGGUUGUGACUUUUAAUGAGCCUCACCCCUUCUACCCGCGUCCAUCUUCCUCGACCUUUUCAGUGGAGGAUAUCUCCUUGCUCACUUUUCCCGACACCUAUCACUCCGGUGGAGCCCCUGUUUACCCUUCUCACUACUACUACUUCUCAGACUGCUGCAGAUCCAACGACGCCAUCUCCUAUGGUUUCCUUACCUCACUUAUCACAGGAUUCUGCACCUUCGUCAGUGGCUUCCUGGCCUCCAUCACCGAGUCUAUCGUGGUGGUUCAUCCUCGUAUUCUUCCAUCUUCUCCUCACUAUUAUACUCGCCAUUCGCAUGUCGUGGAUGAUUCUACCGAUGCGCAAUCUACUUUUGAUGUGCCAUCUUCCUUGUCUCAGCCUACUUAUGGCUACGUGCUUGCCCAUUUUCGCCUGUUGACCGCCUUGUUUUUUCUAGUGUUGGCGCUGCUGUUCUUAAGCCGACUUCGUAUCAUGAUGCUCUUGUUCAUCCUGAAUGGCAACUUGUGAUGGCAGAGGAGAUUGCUGCUCUUGUGCAGACCGACACGUGGGAUCUUCUCUCUCUUCCUCAUGUUCGUCUCAUCGCUUGAGCAUGGUCGUGAUUACGAUGAGAGUUUCGCUCAUGUGGCCCAUAUGAUCACUGUUUGCACACUUAUUUGUUGUGGCUUCUAUUCAUCAUUGGUCUGUAUCUCAGCUUGAUGUUAAGAAUGCUUUUCUUAAUGGUGACUUGCGUGCGGAGGUUUACAUGCAGCCGCCACCUAGGUAUUUUGUUCCUGAUGGCAUGGUCUGCCGUCUUCGUUGCUCUCUAUAUGGCAAGCAAGUCCCUUGUGUUUGGUUUGAGCGUUUCGCCUCUGUGGUGACUGUCGCUGGUUUAUUGACGAGCGCUCAUGAUCCUGACUGUUUGUCCACCUUUCACCUCGUGGUUGGACUCUUCUUUUAUAUGUUGAUGACAUGAUCAUCACUGGCGACAACCUAGUACAUUGAUCCUGACUGCUCAUGAUCCUGACUGUUUGUCCACCUUUCUCCUCGUAGUUGGACUCUUCUUUUAUAUGUUGAUGACAUGAUCAUCACUGGCGACGACCUAGUACAUUGACUUUGUUAAGGCACGUCUCAGUGAGCAGUUUCUUAUGUCUGAUCUUGGCUCUCUUCGCUACUUUCUUGGGAUUGGGGUCUCUUCGACCUCUGACGCCUUUUUUAUUUCCCAAGAAAAGUAUACCCAGCAUCUUGCUCGUGCUGCUCUUACUGAUGAGCGCACUGUUGAGACUCCCAUGGAGCUCAAUGUUCACCUCCGUGCUUCUCAUGGUGACCCCUUGUCUAAUCCGGCGCUUUAUCGUCAUCUUGUUGGGACUCUUGUUGAUUUAGCUGUCACUCGUUCGGGUAUCUCCUAUCCUGUUCAUGUUUUGAGUCAGUUUGUUUUUGUGCCUACUUUGGUUCACUAGUCACCCUCUUCGUGUUCAACAGUAUCUUCAUGGCAUGAUUUCUCAGAGUCUGUUCUUUCCUCGCUCUAGUUCCUUACUACUUCAGAUAUCGGAUGCUACGUGGGCUAGUGAUCUCUCGAAUCGCUGUUCACUUUCUGCUUAUUGUGUUCUCCUUGAUGGUUCUCUCAUUAUGAAGAAACAGUCUGCAGUUUUCCAUUCGAGUGCAGAGGCUGAGUUGCGAGCUAUGGCUCCUUUGACAACAGAGGUUACUUGGUUCCGGUGGUUACUUCAGUAGUUUGGUGUGUCUGUCACUACACUGACUGCAUUAUUGUCGUACAAGUGCUGUCAGCUUUGCGCUCGACCCUGUGAAGCAUGAGCUCACCAAGCAUAUUGGUGUUGAUGCUUCAUUCAGGUUGUUGCUCUUCAGUAUUUGCCUUCCGAGUUAGAGUUGCUGGACUUCUUUACGAACUUUACGAAGGCCCAAGCUACAGCACAACACGGCUUCUAUCUCUCAAAACUCAGUGUUGUUGAUCCACCAUGAGUUUUUUUUUGGGGGGGGGUUGUAUUUUCUCUUUUCUAUAAGGGGCUAUCUUCAUAUUGUACCAGGUAUUGCAUAUUUUCUAACAACUUUGAGUACCCAAUUGUGAUAGAGAGAACAUAUCAGAAGGACAUACAUGUAGGACUUUGGUGUAGUUAACAAGUUAGAGAUAGAAAUUAAGUGUAUUAUUAUCUAUGCUUUGCUUGCUAAUCCAAGUAAAGAUAAAUAAAAUGAUUGUAACAGGGAGAAAGUUACCGGCUAAAUUUCUAAGGGGCGUAUGCCCAGUUAUCAAAAA